This 890-nucleotide ribosomal RNA is filed under the name Microascus paisii. RNAcentral's name for it is "partial large subunit ribosomal RNA". It matches the Rfam family "Eukaryotic large subunit ribosomal RNA", at positions 46 to 964 of the family's 3401-position model. The record is from RNAcentral. Lineage: Eukaryota; Fungi; Ascomycota; Sordariomycetes; Microascales; Microascaceae.
AUAAGCGGAGGAAAAGAAACCAACAGGGAUUGCCUCAGUAACGGCGAGUGAAGCGGCAACAGCUCAAAUUUGAAAUCUGGCCCCCUUGCGGGGUCCGAGUUGUAAUUUGAAGAGGAUGCUUCUGGCAAGGUGCCUUCCGAGUUCCCUGGAACGGGACGCCGCAGAGGGUGAGAGCCCCGUACGGUUGGACGCCGAGCCUCUGUGAAGCUCCUUCGACGAGUCGAGUAGUUUGGGAAUGCUGCUCAAAAUGGGAGGUAAACCCCUUCUAAAGCUAAAUACUGGCCAGAGACCGAUAGCGCACAAGUAGAGUGAUCGAAAGAUGAAAAGCACUUUGAAAAGAGAGUUAAAAAGCACGUGAAAUUGUUGAAAGGGAAGCGCUUGCGACCAGACUCGCGCCCGUCGGAUCAGCCGUCGCUCGCGGCGGUGCACUCCGGCGGGCUCGGGCCAGCAUCAGUUCGUUGGGGGGGAGAAAGGCGGCGGGAAUGUGGCUCCACGGAGUGUUAUAGCCCGUCGUGUAAUACCCCCUGGCGGACUGAGGACCGCGCGUAUGCAAGGAUGCUGGCGUAAUGGUCGUCAGCGACCCGUCUUGAAACACGGACCAAGGAGUCGUCCUAAUAUGCGAGUGUACGGGUGUCAAACCCCUGCGCGUAAUGAAAGUGAACGGAGGUGAGAGCUUCGGCGCAUCAUCGACCGAUCCUGAUGUUCUCGGAUGGAUUUGAGUAAGAGCAUAUUGGGCCGGACCCGAAAGAAGGUGAACUAUGCCUGUGUAGGGUAAAGCCAGAGGAAACUCUGGUGGAGGCUCGCAGCGGUUCUGACGUGCAAAUCGAUCGUCAAACAUGGGCAUGGGGGCGAAAGACUAAUCGAACCUUCUAGUAGCUGGUUUCCGCCGA